This 497-nucleotide ribosomal RNA is filed under the name uncultured bacterium. RNAcentral's name for it is "partial 16S ribosomal RNA". It matches the Rfam family "Bacterial small subunit ribosomal RNA", at positions 28 to 507 of the family's 1533-position model. The record is from RNAcentral.
GAUGAACGCUGGCGGCGUGCCUAAUACAUGCAAGUCGAGCGAACGGACGAGAAGCUUGCUUCUCUGAUGUUAGCGGCGGACGGGUGAGUAACACGUGGAUAACCUACCUAUAAGACUGGGAUAACUUCGGGAAACCGGAGCUAAUACCGGAUAAUAUAUUGAACAGCAUGGUUCAAAAGUGAAAGACGGUCUUGCUGUCACUUAUAGAUGGAUCCGCGCUGCAUUAGCUAGUUGGUAAGGUAACGGCUUACCAAGGCAACGAUGCAUAGCCGACCUGAGAGGGUGAUCGUCCCCACUGUAACUGAGACACGGUCCAGACUCCUACGGGAGGCAGCAGUAGGGAAUCUUCCUCAAUGGGCUCAAGCCUGACGUAGCAACGCCCCGUGAGUCAUGAAGGUCUUCGGAUCGUAAAACUCUGUUAUUAAAGAAGAACAUAUGUGUAAGUAACUGUGCACAUCUUGACCGUACCUAAUCAGAAAGCCACGGCUAACUACGUG